UGUACGGUCUUCCCUUCAAGACGAAUAAAUCUUGGCGCCUUUUACUCAAGAUUUCCGUGGAGGGGAGCCUUAAAUGAGUCUAUAACUAUUAAUCCACCAGAGCUGAUUUUUUUAUGU
Small nuclear RNA from Schistocerca serialis cubense, 117 nucleotides. RefSeq annotates it as U5 spliceosomal RNA. Lineage: Eukaryota; Metazoa; Arthropoda; Insecta; Orthoptera; Acrididae. The transcript has a single exon. The record is from RefSeq and is a predicted model, not a curated record.